Long non-coding RNA from Cydia pomonella (codling moth), 1256 nucleotides. RefSeq lists it as uncharacterized. The record is from RefSeq and is a predicted model, not a curated record. The transcript is spliced from 3 exons. NCBI's taxonomy places the organism in Eukaryota, Metazoa, Arthropoda, Insecta, Lepidoptera, Tortricidae.
GCAUCGUUUACAGACGUUUCUGCUUGUCAAAAAUUAAUUCUUCAAAUAUUAUGAUACCUACUGUUUAAGUUCCAAUAGCUGGUACACAAUGUAAUGUCUAUGCGAGGUUCGGACCAAGCAAACCGCAUGACAGUUGCAAUAACAAAGUGAGGCUAUGUCAUCAUUAAUGUUAAUUUUCUAAGAAAAUAUGACGUUUAUAAUGACACUGCCACACUUUGUACUGUUCAAGUCAGUGCAAAGUUAGCUUAGUUUGGUCCUGUCUAAUUUAUUUGUCUAAAGUGCAUUGCGUCCAUUGAACGUAGUACAUUUAUGUCAAUGAUUGCGUCACACUUUGCCUCAUUAAUCAAAAUGUGAGAUGCAGAUACAAAUUGGACCAAAAAAUUGGACAGGUGGAAUAUCAUCCAUAGACGGACUGACGGUCGGGCAACAAUGGGGGCUUUGGCAAGUAAGUUUAUGCGUGUGCGCGGUCGGGCGCGCAAACAGGCGCGGCGUACGUAUUAAAUCGUGACCGUGACCCUCAACUCGAGGCACCAUCAGUCCCCGUCGGCAUUGAAUAAUUUUGUUAUUGUUUAUAUUCCUUUUAUUUACGCAUCAAGCUUACGGAAAACCCACUUAUCCCAUCGCUGCUAUAUUCAACUACCUGGAAAUACCUAGUGUUUACAAACUUUACAAACUUAUUUUUGCGGGUGUAAACGGCACGCAGGAAGAUUUGCCGCGAGCUAAAUGUAACGCGUUGAUAUAGUUCGGGAGUUGCCCGCUUGUAUAGAUGAGUUUGUGUUUUUUAUCUUCAUGAUUUUGGUUAUGUAGCUAUAUAGACAGUCUAGAUUAGCACUGCUAACGUCUGAGCUAUUUUGACCACGGCAGUCGUCAUUCGGAAGUUCGUGAAUAAGAAAGUGUUUUGAAAAGCGUUAUUAAAAAUUAUAUCUAUUCCGCAAAUACGGGAACAAUCAUGACAAUAUUAUCGGAUGUCAAAACGAAAGGAUUUGAUUUUUAGUUACUAAAACGCACAGAGCAAAAUACGAAAUAGCUGUGGAGAGUAUGAAAAAUAGAUUGAACACAACAAGAUGGAUGUCAGAAAUAUGAAAUUGCCAAGUUUAAGAAUGUGUUGUUUUUGCAUAUCUCUGAAGGCUGGUAUUUUGACAUGGGGAUACAUCAAUUUAAUUUACCAUGCCAUACUGUUUAUCAUAUUAUGCUCAGGAUUUCAAGACAUGCUCGUUGUGGCAAUGUUUUACAUCUAUGGAGGAGGGGAACGAAUU